UGGGGAAUAUUGGACAAUGGGCGAAAGCCUGAUCCAGCCAUGCCGCGUGUGUGAAGAAGGCCUUUUGGUUGUAAAGCACUUUAAGUGGGGAGGAAAAGCUUAUGGUUAAUACCCAUAAGCCCUGACGUUACCCACAGAAUAAGCACCGGCUAACUCUGUGCCAGCAGCCGCGGUAAUACAGAGGGUGCAAGCGUUAAUCGGAAUUACUGGGCGUAAAGCGCGCGUAGGUGGUUAUUUAAGUCAGAUGUGAAAGCCCCGGGCUUAACCUGGGAACUGCAUCUGAUACUGGAUAACUAGAGUAGGUGAGAGGGGAGUAGAAUUCCAGGUGUAGCGGUGAAAUGCGUAGAGAUCUGGAGGAAUACCGAUGGCGAAGGCAGCUCCCUGGCAUCAUACUGACACUGAGGUGCGAAAGCGUGGGUAGCAAACAGGAUUAGAUACCCUGGUAGUCCACGCCGUAAACGAUGUCUACCAGUCGUUGGGUCUUUUAAAGACUUAGUGACGCAGUUAACGCAAUAAGUAGACCGCCUUGGGGAGUACAAGCGCGCAAGGUUA
RNAcentral lists this ribosomal RNA (552 nucleotides) under uncultured bacterium. RNAcentral describes it as "bacterial SSU rRNA". It matches the Rfam family "Bacterial small subunit ribosomal RNA", at positions 355 to 896 of the family's 1533-position model. The record is from RNAcentral.